RNAcentral lists this ribosomal RNA (301 nucleotides) under uncultured bacterium. RNAcentral's name for it is "partial 16S ribosomal RNA". It matches the Rfam family "Bacterial small subunit ribosomal RNA", at positions 509 to 809 of the family's 1533-position model. The record is from RNAcentral.
CAGUAGCCGCGGGAAUACGUAGGGUGCAAGCGUUAAUCGGAAUUACUGGGCGUAAAGCGUGCGCAGGCGGUUAUAUAAGACAGAUGUGAAAUCCCCGGGCUCAACCUGGGAACUGCAUUUGUGACUGUAUAGCUAGAGUACGGCAGAGGGGGAUGGAAUUCCGCGUGUAGCAGUGAAAUGCGUAGAUAUGCGGAGGAACACCGAUGGCGAAGGCAAUCCCCUGGGCCUGUACUGACGCUCAUGCACGAAAGCGUGGGGAGCAAACAGGAUUAGAUACCCCUGUAGUCCCUGUCUCUUAUAA